This is a non-coding RNA of Neotoma lepida (desert woodrat), 292 nucleotides long. It matches the Rfam family "Metazoan signal recognition particle RNA". Rfam says of the family: The signal recognition particle (SRP) is a universally conserved ribonucleoprotein. It is involved in the co-translational targeting of proteins to membranes. The record is from Rfam. Lineage: Eukaryota; Metazoa; Chordata; Mammalia; Rodentia; Cricetidae.
GCCGGGUGGUGGUGGCGCACGCCUUUAAUCCCAGCACUCGGGAGGCAGAGGCAGGCGGAUCUCUGUGAGUUCGAGGCCAGCCUGGGCUACCAAGUGAGUUCCAGGAAAGGCGCCGCCAAAGCUACACAGAGAAACCCUGUCUCGAAAAAACAAAAAAAGAAAAAAAAAAAGAAGACAUUGGGGUUUUUUUGGUUUUUCGAGACAGGGUUUCUCUGUGUAGCUUUGUGCCUUUCCUGGAACUCACUUGGUAGCCCAGGCUAGCCUCGAACUCACAGAGAUCCGCCUGCCUCUG